This 334-nucleotide unclassified non-coding RNA is filed under the name Hevea brasiliensis (rubber tree). Lineage: Eukaryota; Viridiplantae; Streptophyta; Magnoliopsida; Malpighiales; Euphorbiaceae. The record is from RNAcentral.
GCUAGCUUAAGAGGAAGAUUGUCAAAGUUGUUAAAUUUAGCACUCUUUACCUUAUCCCCGAUUUUGUAGGACUCCUACAUGCAAAUUUCCUUAGUUUGAUAAUCUUAGGCUUUGUUAUGUGGGCAAGGCAAUAUAGAUGCGUGGUCGCCUCAAAGUUAGGUCUCCACCAAACGUCCUCACAUUCACCAAUCUAUGAGAAGAUGCCAAGUGGUAAAAUACAUAUCAGAAAAAUGCUAAUAUUCAAAAUUCUUAUUAACCUAGUUAGUUCAUAAAAAUCAGAGGGAGCAUGGAUUCCAACAAUAAGCAUAUGUUUUAUAUCUUUUUUUUUUUUUUU